Molecule: transfer RNA, 61 nt
Filed under: Cryptotermes secundus
Lineage: Eukaryota; Metazoa; Arthropoda; Insecta; Blattodea; Kalotermitidae
Description: tRNA-Ala
Source: RNAcentral
GGGGUUGUAGUUAAACAUAACAUUUGGGUUGCAUCCAAAAAGUACUGUAGGGUCUACCUCA